This 274-nucleotide long non-coding RNA is filed under the name Lathyrus oleraceus (garden pea). RNAcentral's name for it is "Pisum sativum (pea) long non-coding RNA (PSAT_LNC026835)". The record is from RNAcentral. Lineage: Eukaryota; Viridiplantae; Streptophyta; Magnoliopsida; Fabales; Fabaceae.
AACAACACAACACAUAACACACAUAUGAUACUGGAAUACAUCCAUUCAUAUCAUAUGCCAUACAUUCAUUAUGCAAUGAGACUCUAUGCAUGCGGUACCGACUAUUUGUGAACAUAUAGUUCAACCUCACCGUCCAAAUCCAGGCACGGCUACCAAGCUCACUAGUCCCACUCAUUUGAGACAUAGUGACUCACUCACUAAUUCCUCACCAUGGGAAUUAGCUACCACCCCAAAUGGGCCAUGAAAUGCACGCUAAUCACCUAGCAUGCAAACA